GACGAACGCUGGCGGCGUGCCUAAUACAUGCAAGUAGAACGCUGAAGGAGGAGCUUGCUUCUCUGGAUGAGUUGCGAACGGGUGAGUAACGCGUAGGUAACCUGCCUGGUAGCGGGGGAUAACUAUUGGAAACGAUAGCUAAUACCGCAUAAGAGUAGAUGUUGCAUGACAUUUGCUUAAAAGGUGCAAUUGCAUCACUACCAGAUGGACCUGCGUUGUAUUAGCUAGUUGGUGAGGUAACGGCUCACCAAGGCGACGAUACAUAGCCGACCUGAGAGGGUGAUCGGCCACACUGGGACUGAGACACGGCCCAGACUCCUACGGGAGGCAGCAGUAGGGAAUCUUCGGCAAUGGACGGAAGUCUGACCGAGCAACGCCGCGUGAGUGAAGAAGGUUUUCGGAUCGUAAAGCUCUGUUGUAAGAGAAGAACGAGUGUGAGAGUGGAAAGUUCACACUGAGACGGUAUCUUACCAGAAAGGGACGGCUAACUACGUG
RNAcentral lists this ribosomal RNA (495 nucleotides) under uncultured bacterium. RNAcentral's name for it is "partial 16S ribosomal RNA". It matches the Rfam family "Bacterial small subunit ribosomal RNA", at positions 28 to 507 of the family's 1533-position model. The record is from RNAcentral.